UUACGCUUACGUUCAGUGAUUCGCGCGGGAUUCAGUGACUCGAAUAUCGGGUGACGAAUACUUGGUUAAUCGGAUACGUACUUGGCGUGAUCGAUCUAUUCGGUUGUGGGAAUCGAAGCGGCACGCGACGGGAGUACCGAACUUGGAUCGCAUCGCGUACUUUUGCGCGAUCCGUUUGAUUUCAAUUGAUCGUUUGAAAUACGCGUGUAUAGAGCCUCGCGAACAAUUAACGAGAGUGUCGUGUAAAGUGGCGUCGGGGUGAAUUUGUGUCGGACAUUAUCGAGAGAGCUGACAACCCGAGAGGUCAACCUGAGAGGAGGAGGAGGCCUAGGAGAGGCAUCGGGCAUCGGCGUACACCAACGUUUCUGAAAAUAUCCGCGCGGGAAGGAGUAUCUUCGCAUCGAGGGAACAGUAGCUGCCUGAGAGGAGGUGGAGGCCUAGGAGAAGCAUCAGGCGCCGGCGGAGCAACAUGCGAAUCAUCGUAGCGACGUUGCAGAAUAACUCCGCCGUUGCGCAUCGGUCGGUGAGUGAUAAUUAAAAUUUUAUGAUUAAGGUAACGGAUUUAUGACAAUUACGUCAAAUAUAUUGCAGAGACGCUAUGUCAAGUUAUUACAAAAAAUUAUUACAUAUAUUACGUUUCAUAAAUUCGUUAACUUAAAAUGGAAUGACUGUGUCAGAUUAGGAUUUAACAUUUAAUCCUGAUGGAUAAAUCACAUAAAUUGAUUUAUCGUACAUUCUGUCAUUGUAAAUUCUAUCCCAAAUAUCUUUCAGGAUUAAGUGUUACAUAAAUUGGUGCAAGAAUACAAUAUAUACACUUAGGCUACGGUCAA
This is a long non-coding RNA of Temnothorax curvispinosus, 830 nucleotides long. RefSeq lists it as uncharacterized. The transcript is spliced from 3 exons. The record is from RefSeq and is a predicted model, not a curated record. NCBI's taxonomy places the organism in Eukaryota, Metazoa, Arthropoda, Insecta, Hymenoptera, Formicidae.